GCCCCUACUGAGCCUCCAGCAGUUUGUCAAAAUUACUAGUGAAGUAAAUGGCCCUAUCACUUGAGGCAUCCAGAAGCUUCUGCUGAAGGUUUAAUUUAUUUAUUCAUGAAAGACACAGAUAGACAAAGAGACAUAGGCAGAGGAAGAAGCAGGCUCCCUGCAGGGAGCCUGAUGUGGGACUCAAUCUCAGGACCCCAGGAUCACAACCUGAGCCAAAGGCAGAUGCUCAACCACUGAGCCACCCAGAGGAAGCACUUCUUCACUUUAAACCGACCACUUACAAAAGUAGCAGGUGAAGGUUUCUCUGUGGACUGGGGUAAGUCGGUAAUUAAAUUUUCUUGAAUCAGUAGAGAAAUUAUAAAAAAUAAAAUCAAUGUUGUGAGUUUUUCAUAAAGGUAAACUCAUUCUAUUAAAGAACUUGCCUUUUUUAUUCUAAGAUUAUGUCCUAUUUAGUUAUGUGGUUUUAAAUUUCCCUACUAUUAGAUGAUGGUGAUAAUAGGACGUAGUUAGGUUUUUGUUUUUAAAAUAUACUUAUUUGGCAAAAGAAGAGUUGUUACCAUAUGUUGGUCAUCUUUAAGAAAAAAACAAAAUCCACUGGUAUAUAUAUAUAUAUAUAUAUAUAUAUAUAUAUAUAUAUUACACAUAUCCACCACAGCUUUUAAACAGCUGUGGUGCCUGUGAAACUUUUGAAAUAAAUUUACAAUUAUUAUUAAAUAACUGUUGCUCUAUAUGCUCCCUUCUACCCACUUUGGCCAUUCAAUCUCCUUUCUUGGGACCCCAGACUUUCUCACAAGUAAUUAUCUAAAGGUUAAUGCCUGUCACAGUUGGGGUCAUCAGUAUACUAUUUGUUCAUAAUUUACCAGUUGUUAAAUAUUUAAGCAGAACCCAUGGUAAAAUCCAAAUGCCUACGAACGAUUGGUAUAAGAGGAGUAUUUCUAUCUGAUUCCUUUAAGAAAAACAAAAAAGCCAUGGAAUCCCUUAAAAACUGUGUUUGAGACAAUCUGGCAACUCCUAGUUUGAUAAAUGUAAGGAUAGAGUUGUUUUUCUUCCUUCAUAGAGAGUGCAAUAUAAAAAUCUCCAUAAUUAGAAACACAGUGCUUUAUGCUUCCUAGGCAUCAAUAGUUACAGGAUGAGAAAGAGUGGAUAGAUCUUAGAAGCUUUGCAGGAGAGAUGGAGAGAGAGAUGUAUCCCUUGCAUCUCUUUUCUCUUUCUUCUCAAAAUUCUUCCUUCAAGUAAGGGGAAUAGGAUCUAUGAAACUAGGAAAAACAAAAUAGUGACUAAAAAAACCAAAAUGCAGCUUUGACAAACCACAAGCUUUAAAGCAAAAGGAUGAGGACAAUAUCUGAAAAGACUUUAAACAUUAAGCAAAGUAAGGGAAAUUUAAAAUCUUGUUUUGAAUGUAUUAGAUCACAUUAAACAAAUUAUUUUUAAAAACCCUCUCUUUCUUUGUUCUUAAACACUUGUCUUUUAAGCGACAGAUAGGAGGACCAGAAUAAGUGGUUAACUUGGAUUGACCUUCUGAACAGCUGCCCCAUUAAACUUCAGAGACAGCACAUCCCCAUUGCUGCAAUCAAGUGACUACAGCUGGUACUGUCCUUACAAAUUUAAGCUGCAGAAGCACUUUAAAGAGGCGAAUAACCCUCUUUGGGGUCUGAAUCGCCAAAAUGUGUGAUGCUUUUACAUGAAUAAUAUUGUCAUUUGAAAUAUAAACUUUAUUUCUUUGCACUUUGAAACAAAGUGAAGCUAGUUAUCUUGAUUUUGCUUCUCUUAUUUCUUGAAACUCUGCCAAUAUAUCAGCAAAAGAAAAGAGAUGCAUUGACAGUUCUGUAUUAUAAAAUGCAUAAGUAAAACAUUUUGAUGCCACAGAAGUUUAAAUUAUUGACAAUAUGAUUAUAUGAUUAUGGUUUAAGGUUUUUAUAUUAAUUAUAUUCAGAGAGAGGUCUGGGAUAGGGAGGGUUAAUGGGCACCCUGAAACAAGCAGAGAAAAUGCCACUGCAGGUGUUUGCUUUAAUGGGGUGUUGAUGGAACACCAAGGGCAGGUAAGUAGGAAAAUGAAUGAGAGACAGAAAGUGUUGAAGUGUUAGUGUAAAACACAGGUCUGUGACAAUGUGAAGCUUUAAUGCCUAAAAUUAUUUUGGCUUUUCUUGCUUUAGAAUGCUGUUUCACUAACUUUUGUACAAGCUCAAUUACCUUCUUGUAAGGACAGGGCAGUUAGAGUGGAAAUUUCAGAAAAAGGGUUAUUUAAUCACACAUAGGAAGCAACACCUUCCUUAUAUUCAUUUUCACAAAUUUGGCAGGUAAAAUGAGUUAUUUCUCUAGGUUUUCUAUGUCUGCUUUUUAAACUUCAUAUAUUAGAACAUUUAUAACAUAUGCAUAUAUAAUAGUACAGAGACUACUAUAAUAAUGAACUCCUAUUUAUCCAGCUUCAAAAAUUAUCAUCUCCCCCAACUUUUUGGCUCCUCUUCUCCACCCCCAGAUCAUUUGCAGCAAAUCUCAGACAUUAUAUCAUGUUGGUUGUUAAUAUUUCAAUAUACAUUUUGAGAUAAUACUCUUUUGAAAUAUAUCUACAACCCCAUUGACAUACAAAAAAGUGCUAUGUCAUAUCAUAAAUAAAUAAUUUCUUAAUAUAAUAACAUAUCCAGUAACUGUUUAAUAACAUAUCCAGUAACUGUUUAAUAGUUAUCUAAUUUUUAAAAAAUGAUUUGUAUGAUUGAAAUAAUGGACUCUCCAAAACAUCCAUACACUGUAAUUGGUUAAUGUGUCUCUCUGGUCUCAAUCUAUAGGAUUCCUUUUUCUAAUUAAUUUUUUUCUUGUCUCUUUUUUCUUUUUUGGUGGUGGUUUUAGCAACUGAGCUGUUUGUAUAUAGGGUAGAUCUUGUUGAUUACAUCAUUGAGGUGUUGUUUACAUGUUGCUGUGAUCCCUUUAUCUUCUGUAAAUUGUUGGUUAAGUUUGAUAUUUUUAGUAAGACUUCAUAGAUGUUGUCUACUUUCCUAAGAAUUACAAAAUGUGUCUACUUGUUUCUUGUUUGUAUGUGCCAUAUAACAGUCACUGAAGGCCUUUACCUAAAUUUCUAGUGUUUUCAUUCCUUUUUAUCAUCAAAUAUUUGUCUACCCUGAAAUAUAGUUCAUUAAGUCAAGGAAGAAAAAUUGCUUGACUUCAUCUCUCUAGUUACCAGUUUUCCAAAUAACAAAUUGGUUCCAUAGCAUCCUCUAAGGAAGAAAAGUGAUAUUUUAUGUAGAACUCUGACUUAUACAAUUGUUCAACAAAAUUUGUAUUAAUUCAGUGGAGUUUUUCUGAGUGUCUUCUCUGUUUAAGGCAUUUCUUUAGAUGCUGAAUAUACAACAGAGAAGAAAAUAGGCAAAAAAAAAAUUAUUGACCUCAUGAAUUUUAAAUUUUACCGUUUUCACCAAACAGUUCCUUCCUUAAUGCUUUGAUUCAUAACUUUUAAAAUUAUUUUUGCUAGUUUUGUUCAGUGUUUUGGCAGACUUUGUUUGGCCUAAGUGGGCCAAAGUUCAAGGCUUUUUAAAUAACGCAAGUUGUAAAACACCACUAGAAAAGAGUGGACUUGUGGUUACAAAAUUUUAGGGCAAAAUAUCCUUUACCUCCUCUUGGCUCCAUGCUUGUAUCCUAUCCUUUUGUGGAGAUGGGUUUAUUCCUAGCUUAGCCUGUUCCUAAUUUUUAUAACUAUUUCCCUACUAUUCUGUGUGUAUUUGUGUGAUAUCCUGUUAGAUUUCCAAUCUUGGCUAGGCUCUACCUGUUUUCUAUUGUCCAAAAGUUCUAGUGGGGUUUGACAAUAAGAUCUAAGUAUUAGACCCCAGUGAAUCAGUAUGUCCAUCCCUUCAGGUGCUUAUAUUCUACAUAGGAAACCAUUACAUCAGAGAAUUCAGAGUCAGUAACAAAUUUUAAAUAAGUAAAUCUCUUGAUUCUACUUGUCUAAAUAAAUUAUAAUAUAAAUCUUUCAGAGCUAUACAAUUAAAUGGCAUGAAGUAAACCACACAGGUAAGCAUCUUAUAUCCCCAGUGGCUCAUCAUCAAAGACCAUUUAGAUGUGCACAUUUUGCUUUACAAAAUGGAACUUCAAAAACAAUUUUUAAGAAAAGGAAAUGCCAUGAUUUCAAUGAGGUCAUUCUGGGUGUGGCAAAGAGGAGGUUGGAUUAGAGCAGCAGCUUUCAGCCUUAGUUGACCAUUAGGAAUAUAUUGAUAGCUUUAAUACAGUUUUGAUAGCUCAGAUAUUUAACUUAAUUGAUCUGGAUUGGGGUCUGGGCAUCAGAAUUGUUUUCUAAAACAAUUACCCCUAGGUAAUGCUGUUUUCAAGCCAGUGUCAGUGUUCAGAAAUAUAGAGCUAAAGCAAUUGAAAUGGAGAGGAUUUAAACUUAAGAGAUAAUUAUAAGAUAGAAUUGUGUGACCUAAUACAUUUGAGAAUCAUCAGCAUACAGGUGAUUGUUGAAGUCAUGGUAUUGAUCCCUUGAGGAGACAAAGCAGAGAAUAAAGGAAGUAGACUAAUGAUAGAGUUUCAGUACUAACAAUACUUAAGAAGAGAAUCUAGUGUGGGAGACUAAGAAAAAAAGUCAGAGAGGUUAGAAAAAAUGGAAUGAGUAUUGUCAAGAAAAUCAAGAGAAGAGAUAUAUUUAAAAUGGAAGACUUAUCAGUAGUGACAAAAGAUACAGAGUUCAGUGAGCUAAAAACCAAAGAAAAGGCCACUUAUCCAAUUAGGUGGUGAAUACUGACCUUAAAGAAAGCCCUCUCAGGAGGUUGGCAUGAUUGGAAGUCAGAUUGAAAAGGUUUGACAUGUGACUGAUAAGUGAAAACUUGUGGGCAGUACAUGCACAUUACCUUUUCAAGAUAUUCAGCAAUAUGGAAAAAAGAUACUGUAUAGAAUAAGCAUUUUGAUCCUUGGAUCAGCAGAACACUGGAAAAAGUGAGAUUUGGGACAGCAGGGAAUGUGUAAGACCAGUUCCUUUCCCAUGAGAAAUUUCUACUCUAAAGGAAAGUAAAUGAAUCACCAUUAUUAUUUACCUCAAUAAUACUUACAAGUAAAUAUUAAAUGGAAAUGAGACUUUGUUUGUGAAAAUUAGCACUUUGAAAACUGGGUGAUGAUUUAGUGUUAUUUUGUAAAAUUAGAAAGGUUGACUAAAGCAAAGCGACACCCUAGGAAUCAUAUUUAGGACUUAAAAAACAAUAUGGAGAGCAUCAUGCUAUUGGAAAAUGGGGAACAAAAUAUGUUCCAGAACAGGAAAGAAAUGAACUUGGAGAUGGAUCAAACAUGAUGAUAAGUUACUAACAUAGUAAUGAUAUCAUACAAAUACAAUUCAUAUUUAAUGAGCAGGGAGGGAAAUCCAUAUUCCUUUUUGUAUUUAAUUCUUCUCAGGCAGGAAUACUGUAUUCAUAUUGAGACCCACAAAUUGAAAGUACUGCAGAGAAGCUGAAGAGUCCCACAAGGAAUUAAUUAUAGGCCAGGGGGAAUUGUUCAUAUAUGGAAUAUUGAAAGAGAAUGGAUAUAUUUAACAUUAAAAAAAGAGCUCUGAGGAGUGACUUCAACAUUUAGAUAAAAUUCCACAAUUAAAUUAAAUGCAGUAGUGAAAAAAAAAAA
RNAcentral lists this long non-coding RNA (5589 nucleotides) under Canis lupus familiaris (dog). Its description in RNAcentral is "lncRNA (ENSCAFG00000055361.1)". Lineage: Eukaryota; Metazoa; Chordata; Mammalia; Carnivora; Canidae. The record is from RNAcentral.